RNAcentral lists this ribosomal RNA (245 nucleotides) under uncultured bacterium. Its description in RNAcentral is "partial 16S ribosomal RNA". It matches the Rfam family "Bacterial small subunit ribosomal RNA", at positions 111 to 354 of the family's 1533-position model. The record is from RNAcentral.
UAACACGUGAGCAACCUGCCUUUCAGAGGGGGAUAACAGUUGGAAACGACUGCUAAUACCGCAUGACAUUAGGGGAGGGCAUCCUCUUCUAAUCAAAGGAGCAAUCCGCUGAAAGAUGGGCUCGCGGCCGAUUAGCUGGAUGGCGGGGUAGAGGCCCACCAUGGCGACGAUCGGUAGCCGGACUGAGAGGUUGAACGGCCACAUUGGGACUGAGACACGGCCCAGACUCCUACGGGAGGCAGCAG